GUCCUACGGGAGGCUGCAGUGGGGAAUCUUGCGCAAUGGGCGAAAGCCUGACGCAGCGACGCCGCGUGAGUGAUGAAGGCCUUCGGGUUGUAAAGCUCUGUGGAGGGGGACGAAUAAGGGUUGGCUAAUAUCCAGCUCGAUGACGGUACCCCUUUAGCAAGCACCGGCUAACUCUGUGCCAGCAGCCGCGGUAAGACAGAGGGUGCAAACGUUGUUCGGAAUUACUGGGCGUAAAGCGCGUGUAGGCUGCUCGGAAAGUCGGAUGGGGAAGCCCGGGGCUCAACUUAGGAAGUGCAUUCGAAACUUCCGAGCUGGAGUGCUGGAGAGGAAGGCGGAAUUCUCGGUGUAGAGGUGAAAUUCGUAGAUAUCGAGAGGAACACCGGUGGCGAAGGCGGCCUUCUGGACAGCGACUGACGCUGAGACGCGAAAGCGUGGGGAGCAAACAGGAUUAGAUACCCUUGUAGUCG
Molecule: ribosomal RNA, 467 nt
Filed under: uncultured Polyangiaceae bacterium
Lineage: Bacteria; Pseudomonadati; Myxococcota; Polyangiales; Polyangiaceae
Description: bacterial SSU rRNA
Rfam family: Bacterial small subunit ribosomal RNA
Source: RNAcentral